CGGAAACCUUCGGGUUUUAGUCGGCGAACGGGUGAGUAACACGUAAGCAACCUCGCCCUUAAGACGAGGAUAACAAUUGGAAACAGUUGCUAAGACUGGAUAGGAAAAGUAAAGGCAUCUUUACUUUUUUAAAAGAUCUUCUUUGAAGGUAUGCUUAAGGAGGGGCUUGCGACACAUUAGUUAGUUGGUAGGGUAAAGGCCUACCAAGACUAUGAUGUGUAGCUGGACUGAGAGGUUGAACAGCCACAUUGGGACUGAGACACGGCCCAAACUCCUACGGGAGGCAGCAGUAGGGAAUUUUCGGCAAUGGAGGAAACUCUGACCGAGCAACGCCGCGUGAACGAUGAAGUACCUCGGUAUGUAAAGUUCUUUUAUUAAGGAAGAAAAAAGAGUGGAAAAACUCCCUUGACGGUACUUAAUGAAUAAGCCCCGGCUAAUUAUGUGCCAGCAAGCCGCGGUAAUACAUAAGGGGCGAGCGUUAUCCGGAAUUAUUGGGCGUAAAGGGUGCGUAGGCGCUUUAAUAAGUCUAUAGUUUAAUUUCAGUGCUUAACGCUGUUGUGCUAUAGAAACUGUUUUACUAGAGUGAGAUAGAGGCAAGCGGAAUUCCAUGUGUAGCGGUAAAAUGCGUAAAUAUAUGGAGGAACACCAGAGGCGUAGGCGGCUGCUGGGUCUUUCUGACGGUGAGACACGAAAGCUUUGGGAGCACAUAGGAUUAGAUACCCUGGUUGUCCACGCCGUAAACGAUGAGUUUUAAGUUUUGUGUAAAAAUGGUAUUGAAGUUAACACAUUAAGUACUCCGCCUGUGUAGUACGUACGCAAGUAUGAAACUUAAAGGAAUCGACGGGACUCCCCACAAGCGGUGGAUCAUGUUGUUUAAUUCGAAGAUACACGAAAAACCUUACCAGGUCUUGACAUUUUCUUGCGAAGUUAUAGAAAUAUAAUGGAGGUCAUCAGGAAAACAGGUGGUGCAUGGUUGUCGUCAGCUCGUGUCGUGAGAUGUUAGGUUAAGUCCUAAAACGAGCGCAACCCUUGUCGUUAGUUGCCAGCAUGUAACGAUGGGGACUUUAACGAGACUGCCAAUGAAAAAUUGGAGGAAGGUGGGGAUUACGUCAAAUCAUCAUGCCCCUUAUGAUCUGGGCUACAAACGUGAUACAAUGGUUGAUACAAAGAGUAGGUGAAACGCGAGUUCUUAGCCAAUCUCAAAAAAUCAAUCUCAGUUCGGAUUGAAGUCUGCAACUCGACUUCAUGAAGUUGGAAUCGCUAGUAAUCGCGAAUCAGCAUGUCGCGGUGAAUACGUUCUCGGGGUUUGGACACACCGCCCGUCCAACCACGAAAGUUGGCAAUACCCCUAAGCGGUCACCUAACUUCGCAAGAAGAAGGAUCCGUCUAAGGUAGGGUCGAUAAUUGGGGUUAAGUCGUAACAAGGUAUCCCUACCGGAAGGUGGGGAUGGAUCACCUCCUUUCUA
RNAcentral lists this ribosomal RNA (1466 nucleotides) under Napier grass stunt phytoplasma. RNAcentral describes it as "bacterial SSU rRNA". It matches the Rfam family "Bacterial small subunit ribosomal RNA". Lineage: Bacteria; Bacillati; Mycoplasmatota; Mollicutes; Acholeplasmatales; Acholeplasmataceae. RNAcentral also lists the same sequence under 5 other names. The record is from RNAcentral.